GGGGCUGUGGCUCAGUGAUGAAGCAUCUGCUUGGCAUGCAGAAAGUUUGAGGUUAAAUCCCCAAUAUCUCCA
This 72-nucleotide transfer RNA is filed under the name Sphaerodactylus townsendi. RNAcentral describes it as "tRNA-Ala". It matches the Rfam family "tRNA". Rfam says of the family: Transfer RNA (tRNA) molecules are approximately 80 nucleotides in length. Their secondary structure includes four short double-helical elements and three loops (D, anti-codon, and T loops). Further hydrogen bonds mediate the characteristic L-shaped molecular structure. tRNAs have two regions of fundamental functional importance: the anti-codon, which is responsible for specific mRNA codon recognition, and the 3' end, to which the tRNAs corresponding amino acid is attached (by aminoacyl-tRNA synthetases). tRNAs cope with the degeneracy of the genetic code in two manners: having more than one tRNA (with a specific anti-codon) for a particular amino acid; and 'wobble' base-pairing, i.e. permitting non-standard base-pairing at the 3rd anti-codon position. Lineage: Eukaryota; Metazoa; Chordata; Lepidosauria; Squamata; Sphaerodactylidae. The record is from RNAcentral.